This 235-nucleotide long non-coding RNA is filed under the name Trifolium pratense (red clover). Its description in RNAcentral is "long non-coding RNA (TPRA_LNC007525)". The record is from RNAcentral. Lineage: Eukaryota; Viridiplantae; Streptophyta; Magnoliopsida; Fabales; Fabaceae.
CACAUUCAACCUCUUUUUGAUCUUUUCCCCUAUUUGUUUCUUCUAUUUCAUCAAUCUCGCCCACCACAUUAGACUUUUUCAACGAACUUACCACCUCUAUCUCCAAUCCCUUUCCCAAGCCUUCCUUAGAACCAACUUUGCUGGUACUAGUUUCCCCAAAGAGACUUUUACUACAAGAGCUGGAGCUUUGUUCCUUCUUUAUGUCCCCACUAAUUUUUGGAAGAGGGGAAGCUUU